Molecule: long non-coding RNA, 1204 nt
Organism: Sarcophilus harrisii (Tasmanian devil)
Lineage: Eukaryota; Metazoa; Chordata; Mammalia; Dasyuromorphia; Dasyuridae
Exons: 3
Source: RefSeq, a predicted model, not a curated record
AAUAACAAUGAGAACCAGAAUGAUGUGGGUUGAAAGCAUGGUCCUAGCUUUGAACUCCAAGAUAUCUUGGGAGGUUUGGGGGAUCAACAUUUACAUUCCUCUAGGCAGAAUACCUGCAGAGUGAAGAAGAACCAAUAAAAGGAUGCAGCAAGAGAUGGUGGUCAAAUUUACUUAGUAGGAGAAAGAAGCUUAUUCCCUAUCACCUUCCUUCUUAUUCUCAUUUCUAAAGACAGGAACAGCAGAAGAUGGAAAGUCUAAAGUGGUUGCUCAUCUUUGUGUCAGAGGUUCUUCACAUCUCAGAAGGGACAUUGGGCUGUAGCAUUGCAUGGAAGUUGCCUUGGAUUGACACAUAUGGAGGCUAUUGAUUUGAGGCAUGGGGAAGCCCUUUGGGGCAUAUGGAAGACAUCUAGCUGGUCCUCUAAUCACCCCUGCCCCCUUAGGGACACACUGGUCCCAACAGGAAAUGGAAGGCAUAUGGCUUAUAUACACAGGAACUUGGCUCCUCUUCUCACCUGAGGAGGCUGAGAAAGAAAUAAUAGCAAAAAAGCAGUAAAUUAUGCUUUAUGCAGGGUGAAAAGAUUUUAGGAAACACAUUAGGGCUAUUCUAUUCACCUGUUAAUAAAUUUUAAGCAUGAGGUAAUUGAUUAAAAAAACAAAAAGAUUUUAUAUAUAUCGGAAACAUCGGAAACAAAAAACAAAAGACUGUAUGGUGUAAUAGCAAAAGCUCCAAGCAACACUCAUAAUAGGAUCACAGCCGGGACAUUUAUCUAUAUGAAGUCAUCAUGGAUAAAGCCCUUUGCCUAGUUGUGCUUCCAUUUCCUGAUCCAUAAAAGGGGCAGGACAUUACUGCUGCCCCACAGAAGUUGGUGAUGAAAUGAUUAUACAAACCAUGAAUAAGAGAAAUGCCCAGAACAUCGAUUGAAAGAAUGGGAACAACUAAGAACACUUGGAGUAAGUGAUAUGCUCUGUCCUACGUGAUUUGGACUCCUUGGUUUUGUUACAGACUAGACCUGUGAUUUCACACACAUAUGUGUGCACAAAUGUACAUACAAACACACACACUUAUUCAAUUACCACGUGGCUGGUUUAAGGGUAUCUCAAAUCAAUAUUUCUAACUUGAAGCAUCAUCUUUUUGUCUGUAUCUCCUUUUCCUUCUAGCCUUCCUCUGUCUGCUGAUGGAUCUAUUAUACUUUCAGUUAUUCAA